This 437-nucleotide ribosomal RNA is filed under the name uncultured Clostridium sp. RNAcentral describes it as "partial 16S ribosomal RNA". It matches the Rfam family "Bacterial small subunit ribosomal RNA", at positions 341 to 792 of the family's 1533-position model. Lineage: Bacteria; Bacillati; Bacillota; Clostridia; Eubacteriales; Clostridiaceae. The record is from RNAcentral.
ACGGAAGGCAGCAGUGGGGAAUGUUGCACAAUGGGCGCAAGUCUGAUGCAGCAACGCCGCGUGAGGGAAUACGGUCUUCGGAUUGUAAACCUUUGUCUUUGGUGAAGAAGAAAGUGACGGUAGCCAAGGAGGAAGCCACGGCUAACUACGUGCCAGCAGCCGCGGUAAUACGUAGGUGGCAAGCGUUGUCCGGAUUUACUGGGUGUAAAGGGAGCGCAGGCGGGACAGCAAGUUGGAUGUGAAAUACCGAGGCUUAACCACGGAGCUGCAUCCAAAACUGUUGUGCUUGAGUGAGGUAGAGGUAGGCGGAAUUCCGAGUGUAGCGGUGAAAUGCGUAGAUAUUCGGAGGAACACCAGUGGCGAAGGCGGCCUACUGGGCUUUAACUGACGCUGAGGCUCGAAAGUGUGGGGAGCAAACAGGAUUAGAUACCCUGGUA